AUGCAGUUUUUGCCACUCGGAGCAGGGCGGAGGGGAGAGGGGCCGUUUGCGAGCCACCCCCCUCCGCGCUCCCCGGCAGCACGGAACUCAUUUUGCAAGUUUUCCCCAGCAAAUCCAGCCCAAGUUGGCUCAAGGAUGCUUCCCACCUGCCGAAGCCCCUCCUGCGGGCUCUGGGCUGCGCCCCCCGCCCCAGCUGCCUGCAGCAAACGGUGCAAGCGCUGCGAGAGCAGCGACUGCAGCCAGCCCCUGAGCGCACCACCUGCACCCUGGGAUGCAGCAUCCCGGCCCUGGGACAUCCAGAUUCAGUUCCGAAUGUCACGGGAUGCAGUGGGAUGCGGUGGGAUGCGGUGGGAUGCUGUGGGAUGUGGUGGGAUGCAGUGGGAUGCAGUGGGAUGCAGUGGGAUGCUGUGGGAUGUGGUGGGAUGCAGUGGGAUGCAGUGGGAUGUGGUGGGAUGCAGUGGGAUGCUGUGGGAUGUGGUGGGAUGCAGUGGGAUGCUGUGGGAUGCAGUGGGAUGUGGUGGGAUGCUGUGGGAUGCUGUGGGAUGCUGUGGGAUGCAGUGGGAUGCAGUGGGAUGCUGUGGGAUGUGGCAGAACAGAGCUGAGUGUCAUGGGAUGCUGUGGGAUGCGGCAGGAAUGUCACGGGAUGCUGUGGGAUGCGGCAGGAUGCUGCUGAGUGUCACGGGAUGCCGUGGGAUGUGGCAGGGUGGCGCAGGAUGUUCGUGGGGUGCUGUGGGAUGCCGUGGGGUGCUGUGGGAUGCCGUGGGGUGCUGUGGGAUGCUGUGGGAUCAUGCUCCAGGGCAUGGGGACGCGUGGCCCAGUUUGGGGCUGGCAGCAGGGGCUGGCUGCACUCCGGACCCCUCCAAGGCUGCCCGGAGCAGCGUCACCCUGCUGCCCUGGGCAGAGCCGACCCCACGGAGAGGAGAUGCUCGGGGCAGGGUGAUGACCCUGCGCCCACCCCAUCCCCUCUCACCCUGCUCUUCUCACCUGCACGAAGAGCAACAGCACGGAAACGAGGGAGCCGCCAGAAGCCCCCAGAAGCGAGGCAGCCACCAGGAACCCUCCCUGCUUCCCAUCCCGAGGGCGGCCGUGCCCCACCGGCGGCGUGCUCCGACUGCCAAGCAGGCUGAGCCCNNNNNNNNNNCGGGGCAGGGUGAUGACCCUGCGCCCACCCCAUCCCCUCUCACCCUGCUCUUCUCACCUGCACGAAGAGCAACAGCACGGAAACGAGGGAGCCGCCAGAAGCCCCCAGAAGCGAGGCAGCCACCAGGAACCCUCCCUGCUUCCCAUCCCGAGCGCGGCCGUGCCCCAGCAGCGGCGUGCUCCGACUGCCAAGCAGGCUGA
This 1341-nucleotide long non-coding RNA is filed under the name Anas zonorhyncha (Eastern spot-billed duck). Its description in RNAcentral is "lncRNA (ENSAZOG00000007332.1)". Lineage: Eukaryota; Metazoa; Chordata; Aves; Anseriformes; Anatidae. The record is from RNAcentral.